Portunus trituberculatus (swimming crab) is the source of this 9594-nucleotide long non-coding RNA. RefSeq lists it as uncharacterized. The record is from RefSeq and is a predicted model, not a curated record. NCBI's taxonomy places the organism in Eukaryota, Metazoa, Arthropoda, Malacostraca, Decapoda, Portunidae. The transcript is spliced from 8 exons.
AACAACAUGGAGGUAGAUGAAGUUAAUUAAGCUAUCAUAAAAUAUAAUCACUCAAUUUGACGAGACGGAGAAGGGAAUGAUGAAGAAAGAAAAUAGGCGAGUGAGCGAACACACGAAAAUUAUCCGAGGCGCAACUCGAGUAACAAAAUGAACCCCACGAGCCUCACGACCGAACCGUUGCCGUGAAGCUUAGUGUAGAAACUUGGCGACGAAGUUUAUUGUGUCCGGGUGAAGCUGUGAACCGCUGGAAACCGCUGUGCCUCAAUAAGCGUGGUGUGUGCCAGAAGAAUAGUAAUAAGAGAACGUGGCCGGAGGGAAGAAGUGCCGCAGAGAAUCGAGAAAGAAGAGGAAGAGGAGAAACAGGAGGUGAACCAGCGACGUGCCACACAACAGAAGCGGAAUUACGAGGAGCUGAUUGGAGAGAUUGACACGUUCCAGGCAAUCAGCGUACUACACCUGGCGGCCGAGGGAAUGCUGCUGGAGAUGAGCAAGCUUAAAACUAACCACUACAGUCUCCAUUACCACCACCACCACUACCACCACCACCACCACCACCACUACUACAAGGCUCUCAAUCCCAGCAUGAUGUGGAAUUUGAUUUUAUCGUUGGCAAAUCGUGGAAAUAACGCAUGAGAGGAGUUGUCCAGCAUGCCCUCUUGCUCUUCGGCUCAGUGCUCCUGUCUCAAGAAGGAGGAACACGAGGCGAGGGAGCGACGGCGAGGGAGUGUGUGACGCGACUCCCUGGCGACCGCUUACUGGCAGGCGGACGGACCUCACAACCACCGCCACCUCUAUCACCACCACCACUACCACCACUGCCACUAACGCCACCGUUCUUCAUGAUCCGCCCACCUCCAUCACUACCACUACCACUGCUGCUCCAUAACUCGGACAUUAACACUACUAUCAGUGCUUUAUAUCAUCCCAUCAACCAUGACCAUUACAACCAUGCCUUAACUUCCAUUAGCAAUACUGAUGUUACUAAAGUCAUUACAAUUUUUACCAUCACCGUAGCCACCACUACUUUUCUUUUUUUAAUGAUCCAGCCUCCACCAUCAUCACUACAACUAUCACCACUACUUACUGCCUCCAUAGCCUCAUCUCUACCACAAUCAUCAUCAUCACUGCUACCACCACUACUACUAUCAUCUCACCAUACCCACCACCAUCCCCGCCUUCAAUACCAACAUUACCAUAAUCACCGACUUCCUACCAGUCAAUAAAAAUUUACCAGGAUCAACCCGUGAUCAGCUCAUUACUACCAACACCACCACCAUAGCCCGUGAACUUACUUCCACCAUUACUACCACUGUACUCCAUGAUCCGCCCUCCGUCACCACCGCCACUGCUUCUUGGCCACCUCUGCACCACCAACAUCACCACCACUGCCGUACCAUCAGCAUCAACAGUACCGUACAGUGUUUGCAUUUACAUCCAUUUACACUUCUGGUCGUAUCCUGUUUCAAAUUUUCCAGGCAUUUCAUUUCCUUCUUCACUCGCCUACGGAUCUUAUAACUCAAUAUCAGACACCAGUAAUUUUUCUUUGGAAACCGGAAAGCUGGCGUAAUUAGUUACAAAUAAAGAUGAGACAGAAACUACAUCCUUGCAAAUUAAUAGAUAUGAAAUUUAUUUCAACACCUACGUCGCAUCGUUCGAUGAUAAUAUAGAACGAAUCGUCCAAUAAAUCGUUCAGUUAUUAUUUGUUCAUUGGUAUGCUGUGACACAGGUAGAACAUGAGUUUGUGAAUCGUAUUUUGAUAUUACAAUUGUAAAGACAUGAAGGUUAUAUGUACUUGCAUAGGUUUUAUAAGUUGAGUGAAUAAGGCAGUAAUUUUGCGCGUUGCUAAUGAAAGGUAAAUUGUAUUCAAUUGCUUCACAAUUGUUUGCUCGAAACCCAAGUUCGCGCAAGGUUUCACUUCACUUGCGAGCGGCAGGUCAGUGAAGUCGCAGACACGGGGAGGGGCGGUUGGUUAGCUACGGCCCACAUUCCCAUCUCUGACCCAGCACGAUGUGUCCUCGAACGUGUGGGGGCGACUCGCACCGCCUGAAGGGACUGAGGAAGGAGUGAAUAACCCAAGGAAUCUGAGCGGCUCUUCAUAGAGCGUUGAGCGGCGACAAGACUUCAGCCACUGGUCUGCGAGAACGGGUAGGGCGAGGCGGCCAACCACUACGUCCAUCCCAGCCUUGCCCCGCGCUCACCUCUGCCUCAUAUAAGUGCUUCCAUUAUCAUGAGGAUUACUAAUCACCAUAGUAUGGCAAGCAAAAGAAUCAUGAUUCAAACUACUGACCCAUGGAGAUAGAUGUUGGAUGUUUCUAUGUGGAGCCAAACAAGAUACCAACUGUGUUUAGUUGAAGCAGCAUGUUCCUGAUUCCCAUCUAUUGAUUCUUGACUGGAAUUAACUGUUUUACUGCGGUCAUCAUGAUGUAGCUCGGCCAAGACACUGCGAACUUCUGUUAAGAUAUUGGGCUGUACAUAUGUCAUUGCCUUGUCCAGUCCUUCACCAUCAUUACCUGGAAAAUUUGAAAGUUGAGGAUGGCUUCUUCUAGCUGUUUAUAAACAAAUCUUGGAGCCGAUUCCCUUAACCAGUGCACUCCAAGCAAUAGAAAAUGGCUCCCGGCGCAGUAUCCUCUCCUCUACAAAAAUAAUGAUGGGACAUCAGAUCCAAUCUUAACAAUCUCUCUUCAUACGGGAGGUCUUCCAGACUUGGAAUAAUUUUUGUUGCAGCCGGUUGACAAGAACACUGCUGUACAUUCCAACCAUUGUAAACACUUAACCCCUUCAACAUGAUGACAUGUAUAUUGCAUCAUUGUAGCACUUGUGAAAUAUCCAAUGAUGCACAUAGUGUCAUGGCUGCUCUCUGUGGUGGUCAUUUUUUUGUUUAUACUGUAUGAGAUCUUUCAGAAUGUAGGUCGUAUAUGAUACAAUGGUUUACUCGACUUUCAUGGGGGGCUGGGUGGCGUAGUUGGUUAAGGCUGCUCGUAUUUGCCCCUCUGAUCUAGGCAGCCCGAGUUUCAAUCCUUGCCAAAUCUAGUUGCCCGAUGGGAAAUGUAGCGUUCUCCUGUUAACCCCUAGCAGUGCCAUGUGAUUCGCUUAUACCAGGAUAAGUACUGAUGUGCCCAGCUGGAAAUAAAUCUGUUUUAUUUAUCUAUUUUCUAUGGUACCAAUAAACUAAUUUACCAUAAAAACUGACAUUUUCUCUCAUUUGUCAUCUUCAGAAAACGGCCAAGAUAAGGCAGUGUAAUUUUUUCUCUAAAAUUUGCGUGGGUUUUAUAUAUUUUUAAUGUACAUACAUAUAUAUCUGUUAUGAAAAAUCACUCGCCAUCAUCACUUUCUGCAGAAGAGAGCAAGAGCAAGAGAGAGAGAGAGUUGCCUGAGAGUCAAUUACCUCUCCACCUGGAUACUGCGCCGGGUGCCGUUUUCUAUUGCCUGGAGUGCAGAGGUUAAGGAAAUCGGCUCCAAGAUUUGCUUAUAAACAGCAAGAGGAAGCCAUCCUCAACUGUAAUUAGAAGAUUUGCGCUACAUGAAUUACUGUUGUGCUGUACCGUCUGCAAAAAGAAAUUUAAAAAGGGUAUUAAGGCAAAAAAAUGGAUGAGGAAGUGCAGGUGGCAGGUGGUGUCGUAUUUGCCAAUACCCUAAGGAAUUCAACUUGAGCUGAUUUCUUGGGAUUUAAAAACAAUGAAGAGAGGAGAAGAGACAAUAUGUUUAGAAGAAUGAUAGACAUAAACAGAAAUGAAAGAGAAAAUGGGUAUGUUAGAAAAGUGUUGAAAAAAAGCUUACAAUAGCAUCAAGAAGAAAUUAAUUGAGGUCAAAAUAAAUUGUAUGAUAAACAAGAAGCAGAAUUAAUUAAUUUUCAGCAGAAUGAAUUUUAAGUAGAUAGCCGAGGCACAAGUAAAAUUGAAGGACAAAGGAUUUAUGGAAAAUGUGGUUCAGGUAAUUAAGUUGAGAUACUUUGUAAAAGAUGAAGGUUCUUGUUGAAUUCCAUGGCCUAAGAACUCAUCCAAAGGUUCUUGGAUUCCAUGGCCUAAGAACUCAUCCAUUAAGAAAUAACAGUGAAAGGAAAAAGCAGGAGUUAGUAGAGAAGUUUUGAUGACAGUGCAAGAUAGAAGAGAUGUCCAGGAUUGAUAUUGGUAAAUAUAUCAAAUGUAGGAAUUGUCUAAUUAAGGUAAAGAUUUAGAAGCAGUGGCAAAAGCUUAUAUACAUGUUUAAUUUUUUUUAUUUUGGCUUAUGUCCGAGUAUAUGUACAAAGAUAUAAAUAUAGAAGAGAUAAGGGAAGGAGCCAAGGAAUCAAAACAAAGUGAGGAAAGAGGAGGAGAAUUUUAAAAAUUAUGUUUAAUUGGAGAGAAAGAGACAUGAAAUUAAGGAAGUGAUACAAAAGAAAAUGACCUCUGUAUGUACUUUAACUGUGUGCUCAAAAGGCAGCUAGAGAGUACACCUUUCUUGAGUACACAGUUAAAGUACAUACAGAUGUCUUCUUUGAGGGACCAGGCAAAGAUUUAGCUGAUGGUAACUUGACACCAUCAUCCUUCUUGAAAUGCUUCAACUAGUUUUUCACACCACAUUCACCACCAGUAUUUCUUCCUAUCUGCAGCCCAGCUUUGUGAAGCCCUAUGAUGAUCUGAGCUAUAGUUACCAGCAUUAACAACCUCCUUUUACCCAUAUUCACCAAGGUACAGCCCAGGAACACAGGGAAACAGACAAAAGAUGGUGCUAAUGAGAGAACGGUGCAACACUUCCUCUCACCAUGACCGCCAUGGAGGCAAGGAGGCAGUACUGUGGUGUGUGAUGGGAGGCAGUGAGGUCCUGCUAGCUGCUGGUACAUAGCAUAAUGCCAUUGUUUUUUUGUCCUAGCUCCUGGUACCUGGCAUAAUGCCAUUGUUUUUUGUCCAGGCAUUAUGGCAGGAUGCUCACCUGGCUUGAUUCUGUGACAAGCACUGUAGAAAAAUGUAGAUGGAUUGAUAUCAUCAGCAAAUAUUCACUUAAAAGGAUUGUAGAAACAAAGUUAAUUCAUAAUUCAACACCAUGGAACAUAAAGGAAGGUGUAUAAAAAUUUAUGGAUGAAAAAUCAUGAAAAUACACCAGCAAGAGUUAUGUUAUUACUGAAGAAAGAACCUGACAACGGUUAACAUGACUGAGACUUAAGAAGUGCCUUCUUGGUUAUCCUAAUUCUAUAUGUUUUUUCAGCAAAAUAAUCUUUAUUCAUAGGCUGGAUCUUUCAGUAGUGGUACCAUGUUUGUAGCUAUCCUUUGAAUUCUUUCCUGUUCUUUGAAUUCUUUCCUGUUUCUUCAUAUCAUCCUUCAUAUGCAGAGAUCACACCACUGCUACAUACUCCAACCUGAGUCAUACCAUAGUGGUUAUGAUUUUUUUCAUCAUACUCUUGCCUAUGUAGUGAAAUGGCACCUUCUUAUAAUGAAAUUCAUUAACUUCUUGUAUGUUGAGCCAAAUAAUCCCACUUGUAUACCCCUUUUGGAUUAGGGUAUCUUGAAUAACCAUUCAAGUCUUUCUUACUCUUCAUUAUAAUUUCCUCUCCAAGUCUAAUUUUACUCUUACCCAACAUGGAAUUUCACUUAAUUUUUCAUCAGUCAGCAGGUUCAAAAAUAACUGCUCGCACCCACCAGUGCGUUUCACUAAUAUACACAUCUGGAAUAUGAUGGGUGAUAACAGUGAUCCAUGUAGUUUGCUGCCACUUGUUGUUACAUUACUCUAACUUGAUCAGAUGUCCCAGAUCACAGUUCUCUAUCCUGUAAGAAGUCCCUCAUCCAGUUUCGUUGUUCCUCCUGCAAGUUCCAUCUUUCACAAGAGUCUUCUGUGUGGAACUAUAUCAGAUAUCAAAUUCUUUUUUCUUUCACAAGAGUCUUCUGUGUGGAACUAUAUCAAAUUCUUUUUUCUAUCUAAGUACAAUGCAUUUAUUUACCAAACUGUCUUUGCAUUGUACUUCAUUUUAUCACUCUAUACAGAAACUUAGUAGCUAAAUGUGACACAUGUGAUCUUCCUUUUAUGAAACCAAAUUUGUAGUUAUUGUUAUAACUUCAUUUUCAUCUAAAUAUUUUUUCACCCUUUUCCUUGAUUACUAAUUUGGUUCAGUCUUCUUUCCUCCUUUGUAUAUUGGCUUUAUAUUUGCUCUUUUCCACUCUCUUGGUGGUGUUCCCUCCAUCAGUGAGAUGUACACCACAUAUCAAAUUGGCUCCACCAAUUUGUUCUCUACAUUCCUUUAGUGGCCAAGCUUACAUUGCAUAAUUUUCUAGCAAUUUGUCAAUUUCCUGUUUUGAAUCAUCAUGAUUUCCCUGUUCUGUAAAAACCCAUUUCGACAUUAAGUUCACCAUAAAAUCCAUUUCACUGUAAAAUUCACUUCCACCAUAAGUUAACUCAUCUUUCAGCUGUUUUAAAUAUCCUUCAACUCCUUUUUCAGCUGUUUUAAAUGAGGCUGGUAUUGCAAUAGGGGAAUAACCCUCAAAAUUGGUGAAAUCGAGUUACGGGUGGCAACGUGCUCACAAAGGGUGUCAAAAGGUCCUAAGCACGUCGGCGAAACUCACACAAAAAAAAAAAAAAAAAAAAAAAAAUUGAGACUAACAUUGGAAGUGAGUGCAAGCUGGGGAUAACCCACGGUUGGUGGUAGUGGUGUGCGAGCCAAUCAACUGCGAGCGUCCCACUACGCCCCAGCGCUCGGCCAAUCACAACCUCUAUAUACUUGCAGGGGGGACCACGUGCGGAAAACAACACUGCUUUUAAUCCUGCCUGAUCUUUCUCCACAGAUCCACACCAUUGUGCCUGAUAAUGAACUUAACUGUCUCAAGCCAAUGUAAAGGAUGAGAGUCAACCAAAAUUAUCAUAUUAAAUUUUUUAGGUCAAUAGUACUCAAUUUUUAUCUAAAAAAAAAAAAAAAUUUUAUUAUGUAAUGCAGUAAGGUAACAUAGUCUUCAUAACAUACUACUCGUUUUAUCAUAGUGACGUAAUUUCAUUGAUAACUCAUAAAUUCUUGGAAAAUAGGUGAUGGAGGUAGUGAAACAAUUUCUUUUCACAAGAAAAAAGUUUUGAUUACAAAAAUUUCUAUUUUUUUUGGGGGGUAUUGGUAUUAUACAUUACAUCAUAAGACCCUAAAAAACACAAAAAAACUAACCUACCCAGGUAACUUUUUUGGCUAGUAACUGUAGGUAUAGUUUGUUGGUUUUUUAGGAGGCGGAGACAAAAAUAAGGUGACAAAAUGGAACUCUUCUGAUGUAUGAUAAUAGCAUAGUAUGCCCUUCCUUCCAUGCGUAACAAGUGGCUAACUUUAAAGCGUAUUUUCUCGAAAGUAGGGUUAUGAGGGUUAUCCCCCUCUUGCAAUACCAGCCUCAAAUAUCCUUCCUCCCUUUACUAAUUUGCAAAUGGUCUCUCUGCUCAUCAUCUGCAAAACUGUUCAGAGUAUUAAAAAGAGACACAUUGAUUGUUUAGAGUUGCAGAGAUAUUAACAAGAUAUAUGAGUUGAGUCAGAGAUGGGAAGUGAAAUUCAAUGCUAAGUAAGAAAUUCCAAGUCAUGGGUAAAGGCAAAAGAAGACCUGCAUGGGAUGCAUGCUCUCUCUUUUCUACAUUCUUCUCUUCUUUCUAUAGAAUGCAAUGACCGACCCUCCCUUUCUCUGUCUCUAAGUUAAACAUCACUAGUGUACUGCUACUCUGCUGAGCUCCUAAUCAAAACAAUCUUUACAUAAUAAUGGCCAGUGAUGUGGAUACAGGUCUUCCACUUACCCCAGAUUUCAGUCUUCACCUUCUCAUAUUCCUCCAUGAGUGUCUUUUGAAUGUUGCAUUUGUGAUCAGAAAAGAUUGACUCAGAAGAGUGUUCCUGUAAACCCCACUGCAUCUCAUACUUCAUGGUUUCCCACUGCCGUUCUGGACAAUGGAAAUGCAAUCCCAUCUGUAAGAGUUUGAAAACUUUAAAUAUUUUUCUACUUCACUUUUAAAUAUUUUUCUACUUCACUGAUAAAUACUAUUUAUUGAAUAAAAAAUAUCAAUAACAUCCUGACAUUGAAACUGAAGUAUUUGUCAAAAAGAUGAAAGACCAUAAUUUACAUACUUCAUCUGAAGAAGCAACAUGAUGGAAUGCGCCAUCUUUAGUCAGCUUGUAGAAGAUAAAUGCUGGAUCUGGGUUUUCUGAACUAGAAUGAAAAAUUCUUACCAGAUUGACCAUAUUUUCAUAGGCCUCCAUUUCCAUUCUUAUUUUAUAAAAGUACCUGCAACACAAGGCACAUCAUUACAAUCAUAAUUAUUUCUAUUUCAACACAAUGUUUUCAAGUCAAUUAAGUUAUAGAUGGAAUCUUGUCUAAAGAAAUUAGAGACAAUGAUGAAUCAUCCCCUCACCAGUUUCAUAAAUGUGCCACAGUGCACAGCUAGCUAUUUAUAGACUAAAAGGAUGGAAUGCUAAAAUAAAUACUUAGAGGAAGAACCAUAGCAUGUAUUGCUUUCAAGCUGUAAUAAAUUAAACUAUUGUUACUAUUGUUAUGAUUAACUAAGAAAAAAUAAAUGAAUAAAUAGAUCAAUAGGCAGUCACACUAGCUAUACCCUAAACUAAGACCAUUAGUACACUUCUGGGGUCCCCCUGAUUCCCUCAGUAAAGAACACAACUGUUACCCUUUUAUCACACUACACCAGGGUAUUAUUAUGGACCUAGAUUUAUAGACCCACUUCCUAAGUAUGCACAGAUCCUGCUAUAAUGCUAUACCUAUUAACUGAGCUGAACAUUGGGCCAGUAGACAACCUCAAAGGACACCUAGCUGCUAAUGAGGUCAGAACCAAUAUGGUUGACCUGUGUCCAUCCUCUUUCUCAAAUAAGACAAUACACCUAUCUAGGUUCUUCUGUGGAAGUACUAUGUAUGCAGUUCAAACAUGAAUUCCUAUGGGGUUAAAAAUAGUUACAAAAGUGUUUCAUAAGCUUGGGAUUAUUACACUACCAUCAAUUAGUUUCACUCCUUUUCUCUAUGUGGUCUCUCACUCUGCUUAAACUAUACAAACAAAAUUACCUGAAGGGAUGUUUGUAAUAGAGUCCAUAGAGUGCAUACAAUGCUCCCACUCUCCACUUCACUUUGUGAUUAGGAGAUAACAUCUUCUUGGUCCAAAAACAUAUUUCUUGAGAAAAUUCCAAUAGUUCUUUGAAACUGUAUCGACCCCUGAAUGAGAAAUAGAAAUUACAUACAUAUAUUCACCAUCAAUAUCAUAACUUUUCUUUUUGUUGUUUUUCUUCAGUUUUUAAUUAUUGGUUAUUGUCAAUAAGGUUACCAUUAUUGAUUUUUCACUUACUGUGAAAAAAAGUUUUCAAUGGAUUAGCACAAUGAAGAUUCAUAAUGAAAUUAAAUGUUUUUUUUUUCCAUUGAUCAUUACCAAAUUAUCUUACCUGUAUAUGAGAGAAAAUUUAUAUUUCUGCCAACAUUCUGCAAAUGCACAAAAUCUCCAACUGUCCUGCUUAUCAAAAGCUUCAAACAAAGCUAUCAGGUCCUUCAUGAAACCAGAUGCAAGGUACCAAUGACCUGAAAUAUGCACAAAUCUUAACAUGUGAAUGGUACUAUAAAAUCGUUAUGAAGCACAGUAUGUAAUCAAGCUACACAAAACAAUAAACUAUAAAUAUUAUCA